UCGCACCUACCGAUUGAAUGAUUCGGUGAAGCUUUCGGAUUGCGCCACUGGCCUCGGUCGGCAGCGUGAGAAGUUAUCUAAACCUCAUCAUUUAGAGGAAGGUG
This 104-nucleotide ribosomal RNA is filed under the name uncultured eukaryote. RNAcentral describes it as "partial small subunit ribosomal RNA". The record is from RNAcentral.